Long non-coding RNA from Pezoporus flaviventris, 1503 nucleotides. RefSeq lists it as uncharacterized. The transcript is spliced from 6 exons. Lineage: Eukaryota; Metazoa; Chordata; Aves; Psittaciformes; Psittacidae. The record is from RefSeq and is a predicted model, not a curated record.
CGCACAGGUGGCUGCAGUACCGGGAGCCAAGGUGGAGUCUUUGGAAAUGGGAACGCGAGGCCUCUGCUCCGCUCCUCCCUCUAGACCUGUUGCUGUGCCUUAGGGAAGCGCUGCCUCUGCCUCAGGGAAAGAUGUGCCGGCCGCUCGGCUGCCCUGGUGUGCAGCUGGUUGCGUUUAGCUCAGCUUCAGCGGGUUGUGGCAGGGCAGGCUAACCCCCUCCUCGCCGCGCCUCCAGCCCCAGGUGACUUUGCAGGCUGCGGGGGACAAUGCAGGCUUCCCUCUCCUACUCACUCUGCGCUUCCUGGUGAAGAUGUGCGACAGAUGUGCUCCUACCUGGGAAGAUCACUUGGAAGACCACUCUGCAGUGGUCUUCUGGAGCAUCAUCAUUCAAGCCCUUUACCUAACUGAGCUGUGAGGUCAUCGAGGCAUGGCCAAAGCAAAACUCGGUGGAACAAACUCUGUCCAAGACAUAGACCAAAAACUCCUGUAGCACAGAAACAAGGGAUCGGAAGACUUGCCUGAAACAUUUUGGUCAUUGAUUGUGACUGUGUUAAAUCUAGGGAACCUAAGGGCCUGUUUAAAAACUCUUUUGGAGUUCCUGAUCUGGGUUGGCAGCCGAAGCCACAUCCUGACUGCAAAGCAGGGUGAGGCUCAGUGAUGCAACCGCAUUUGCCCAUAGUUUCUUCUGCAUGACAAGAAACUCUAGGAACGUGUUCCAGGCAGAAGCUGUGGCACACAGGACAGAUGGGCAGUCAAGCUGCAGGAAUGAGUGUGAAAAGUCCAAGCCAGUGCACAGAGGCUAGUCUAAAGUGAGAAGAAUGAAAUGUCUGUCCUGCAGAGAACAUUAAUGUGUGUCGACAACAUGCUCUAAAUUAAAUAUUGUAUUCCUUUAAAAAACUGAGAGGACUCCAGUUUGGAGAUUUGGAACAAAAUGAGCCAGGACAUUUGCUCUGUUUUGUGCCCAGUAUGUACCUGAGCUGGGGCACAUAUGGAAUUCUGCUAAAAUGAGAUUAUAAAUUAAUAGUCUUUCACACUUCAUUGCUUGAAUGAGCCAGAAGUUAUUUUCUUCUGAGUUGGAGUCCCAGGUGCAGCUCUUUCCAGCUACCAAAUAUGAUUUUCUGAAAGGGAAGAAAGACCAGUGAAUUGAAACUACAACGACCUCUUCUCUGUGGUCUCAGUACAGCCAUGUAAUAAAGAAAAGGAAAGCACAUCAACUGACAGGGUGAAAGAAGAAGAUUCUGUCCAUAUAUACAAUGAUGGUGAUGAACCAGUUUGGGCUACAGCUUCCAUUUCUGGUUCUCCUUCUGGCUUUGUGCACAAACUUCAGCUGGUCUGUGAUUUAAAAAGAUGACUUGUUUCUUUGAUUUUUUUUUUUGGUACCAACUUGAGAUGCUGUGCAACUCCUAUUACUAUUUAGGCUGGUCUAGAGUCAUACUAACAAAGAUAAAUAUUUCUACUUUCACUAAAACUUAAUGAGGUGAAGCUAUUGCAGACCUGGCUCUC